This 1170-nucleotide ribosomal RNA is filed under the name Triticum aestivum (bread wheat). RNAcentral's name for it is "partial small subunit ribosomal RNA". The record is from RNAcentral. Lineage: Eukaryota; Viridiplantae; Streptophyta; Magnoliopsida; Poales; Poaceae.
AUGCGUUUCAUCUUCUGGAACAUCCGAGGCUUCGGCCACGCUGGGAGGCGGACCCAGUUAAAAGAGUUCAUUAGGAACGAAGAAAUCGACAUGGUCGGCUUGCAAGAGACUAUCAAGGCCGAGUUCAACCAUCGCGACCUGCUAGGUGUCGACCCGUUGGAGCGUUUUGUUUGGCAUUGGGUGCCUGCGUUAGGUCACUCGGGGGGCUUGCUGCUAGGAGUUAACCUAGUUUGCUUAGAGGUGGUGGCUUGGGACGCCGGCCGUUUCUUCCUGUCGGCACACGUGCGACACCGCGCCACUCUCCAAGAGUGGGUAGUGAUUGCCGUGUAUGGCCCGGCCGAUCACUCGCUUUCGCUCGAGUUCUUGGGAGAACUCCAGUCCAAGGUGAUGUCUUUGGGCGCGAGCAACCUACCUCUGCUGGUGGGCGGUGAUUUCAACUUGAUCCGUUCGGGAGCGGACAAGAAUAACGGUAUUAUUAACUGGACAAGGGUGGUCAUGUUUAAUAAUGCUAUCGCAUCAAUGGCACUUAGGGAAGUGGCUCGCGUGGGGGCUCGAUACACCUGGACCAACAAACAGCUAACGCCGGUGCGAUCGGUCUUGGACAGGGUUUUCAUGUCCUCGGAGUGGGAGGUGUUGUUUCCCAUGUGCUCUCUGCACGCCGAAACCAGGAUUGGGUCGGACCACGUCCCCCUCAUCCUUUCCUCGGGGGAGGAACGGCUAAAACGCAGCCCGCGUUUCUUCUUUGAAACCGCGUGGCUUGAGUCCCCGGACUUUGAGGAAAUCUUCCUUUCGAAAUGGGAGAAUUGUGUUGCUCGCAUCGGGCGCGUGCGCGGUCCGAUGGAGUUCUGGAUUGCCGCAGGGGCGGGUAUGCGUGCGGCUCUUAAAGGGUGGGGAGCUAACCAGGGUCGUGAGGAUAAGCUGUUAAGAUCGCGCCUGACCGAGGAGCUCGCCCAGUUGGACGCUGCGGCAGAUGUGCAGGUCUUCUCCGAGCAGGACUGGGCCCAGCGCUACGCGCUUGAAGCCCAAGUCGAGUCCCUCCUCAGGGCCGAGGAGGAGUACUGGCGAAGGCGCGGUGGAAUAAAGUGGACGCUCAAGGGUGACGCGAACACGAAAUAUUUCCACGCCUACGCUAAUGGCAGACGCCGUAAGUGCGCCAUCCUGAGACUUUAA